Molecule: transfer RNA, 82 nt
Filed under: Candidatus Epulonipiscium sp.
Lineage: Bacteria; Bacillati; Bacillota; Clostridia; Lachnospirales; Lachnospiraceae
Description: tRNA-Leu
Rfam family: tRNA
About the family: Transfer RNA (tRNA) molecules are approximately 80 nucleotides in length. Their secondary structure includes four short double-helical elements and three loops (D, anti-codon, and T loops). Further hydrogen bonds mediate the characteristic L-shaped molecular structure. tRNAs have two regions of fundamental functional importance: the anti-codon, which is responsible for specific mRNA codon recognition, and the 3' end, to which the tRNAs corresponding amino acid is attached (by aminoacyl-tRNA synthetases). tRNAs cope with the degeneracy of the genetic code in two manners: having more than one tRNA (with a specific anti-codon) for a particular amino acid; and 'wobble' base-pairing, i.e. permitting non-standard base-pairing at the 3rd anti-codon position.
Source: RNAcentral
GCGGAUAUGGCGGAAUUGGCAGACGCGCUAGACUUAGGAUCUAGUGCCGCAAGGCGUGGGGGUUCGACUCCCUUUAUCCGCA